CAAUAGCGUAUAUUAAAGUUGUUGCAGUUAGAACGCUCGUAGUCGGAUUUCGGGGCGGGCCGACCGGUCUGCCGAUGGGUAUGCACUGGUCGGCGCGUCCUUCCUUCCGGAGACCGUUCCUACUCUUAACUGAGCGGGGGCGGGAGACGGAUCGUUUACUUUGAAAAAAUCAGAGUGUUUCAAGCAGGCAGCUCGCUCUUGCAUGGAUUAGCAUGGGAUAAUGAAAUAGGACUUUGGUGCUAUUUUGUUGGUUUCGAACACCGAAGUAAUGAUUAAAAGGGACAGUCAGGGGCACUCGUAUUCCGCCGAGAGAGGUGAAAUUCUCAGACCAGCGGAAGACGAACUACUGCGAAAGCAUUUGCCAGGGAUGUUUNCACUG
Molecule: ribosomal RNA, 379 nt
Filed under: uncultured eukaryote
Lineage: Eukaryota
Description: partial 18S ribosomal RNA
Rfam family: Eukaryotic small subunit ribosomal RNA
Source: RNAcentral